GAUGAACGCUGGCGGCGUGCUUAAGACAUGCAAGUCGAACGCAGCUUGGCCGCAAGGCUGAGCUGAGUGGCGAAUGGGUGCGUAACACGUAGGUGACCUGCCCGGAAGUGGGGAAUAACAGUCCGAAAGGACUGCUAAUACCGCAUGCGGUGCGCGGGUUUUGAAGCCGCGUUCCAAAGGUACGAGCAAUCGUGCCGCUUUCGGAGGGGCCUGCGGCCCAUCAGCUCGUUGGUAGGGUAACGGCCUACCAAGGCAACGACGGGUAGGGGA
Molecule: ribosomal RNA, 270 nt
Filed under: uncultured bacterium
Lineage: Bacteria
Description: partial 16S ribosomal RNA
Rfam family: Bacterial small subunit ribosomal RNA
Source: RNAcentral